UACGGGGGGGCAAGCGUUGUUCGGAAUUACUGGGCGUAAAGGGCUCGUAGGCGGCCAACUAAGUCAUACGUGAAAUCCCUCGGCUUAACCGGGGAACUGCGUCUGAUACUGGAUGGCUUGAGGUUCGGGAGGAGGAUGCGGAAUUCCAGGUGUAGCGAUGAAAUGCGUAGAUAUCUGGAGGAACACCGGUGGCGAAGGCGGCAUCCUGGACCGACACUGACGCUGAGGAGCGAAAGCCAGGGGAGCAAACGGG
This 253-nucleotide ribosomal RNA is filed under the name uncultured bacterium. Its description in RNAcentral is "partial 16S ribosomal RNA". It matches the Rfam family "Bacterial small subunit ribosomal RNA", at positions 524 to 776 of the family's 1533-position model. The record is from RNAcentral.